GUAGUCCUAGCCCUAAACGAUGAUUGCUUGGUGUGGCGGGUACCCAAUCCCGUCGUGCCGCAGCUAACGCGAUAAGCAAUCCGCCUGGGGAGCACGGCCGCAAGGCUGAAACUCAAAGGAAUUGACGGGGGCCCGCACAAGCGGUGGAGCAUGUGGUUCAAUUCGACGCAACGCGAAGGACCUUACCUGGGCUCGAAAUGCAGUGGACCGGGGUGGAAACAUCCCUUUCCGCAAGGACUGCUGCAUAGGUGCUGCAUGGCUGUCGUCAGCUCGUGUCGUGAGAUGUUGGGUUAAGUCCCGCAACGAGCGCAACCCUUAUUGCCAGUUGCUAACGCGUUAUGGCGAGCACUCUGGCGAAACCGCCCCGGAUAACGGGGAGGAAGGUGGGGAUGACGUCAAGUCCUCAUGGCCUUUAUGUCCAGGGCUACACACGUGCUGCAAUGGCCGGUACAAACCGUCGCAAACCCGCGAGGGGGAGCUAAUCGGAAAAAGCCGGCCCCAGUUCGGAUUGUAGUCUGCAACUCGACUACAUGAAGCUGGAAUCGCUAGUAAUCGCGGAUCAGCACGCCGCGGUGAAUA
RNAcentral lists this ribosomal RNA (579 nucleotides) under uncultured Acidobacteriota bacterium. RNAcentral's name for it is "bacterial SSU rRNA". It matches the Rfam family "Bacterial small subunit ribosomal RNA", at positions 790 to 1368 of the family's 1533-position model. The record is from RNAcentral. Lineage: Bacteria; Pseudomonadati; Acidobacteriota.